This 794-nucleotide ribosomal RNA is filed under the name uncultured Pelagibacteraceae bacterium. RNAcentral describes it as "bacterial SSU rRNA". It matches the Rfam family "Bacterial small subunit ribosomal RNA", at positions 36 to 878 of the family's 1533-position model. The record is from RNAcentral. Lineage: Bacteria; Pseudomonadati; Pseudomonadota; Alphaproteobacteria; Candidatus Pelagibacterales; Candidatus Pelagibacteraceae.
CUGGCGGCACGCCUAAUACAUGCAAGUCGAACGGAGUAGCAAUACUUAGUGGCAGACGGGUGAGUAACAUGUGGGUAUCUUCCCUUUGGUGAGGAAUAACACGAGGAAACUUGUGCUAAUACCUCAUAAGUCUUUACGGAGAAAGCUUUAUGCGCCAAUGGAUGAGCCUGCACUUGAUUAGUUUGUUGGUGGGGUAAUGGCCUACCAAGACUGUGAUCAAUAGCUGAUUUGAGAGGAUGAUCAGCCACAUUGGGACUGAGACACGGCCCAAACUCCUACGGGAGGCAGCAGUAGGGAAUCUUGCACAAUGGAGGAAACUCUGAUGCAGCGAUGCCGCGUGAGUGAAGAAGGCCUUUGGGUUGUAAAGCUCUUUCGUCGGGGAAGAAAAUGACUGUACCCGAAUAAGAAGGUCCGGCUAACUUCGUGCCAGCAGCCGCGGUAAUACGAAGGGACCUAGCGUAGUUCGGAAUUACUGGGCUUAAAGAGUUCGUAGGUGGUUAAAAAAGUUGGUGGUGAAAUCCCAGAGCUUAACUCUGGAACUGCCAUCAAAACUUUUUAGCUAGAGUUUGAUAGAGGAAAACAGAAUUUCUAGUGUAGAGGUGAAAUUCGUAGAUAUUAGAAAGAAUACCAAUUGCGAAGGCAGUUUUCUGGAUCAUUACUGACACUGAGGAACGAAAGCAUGGGUAGCGAAGAGGAUUAGAUACCCUCGUAGUCCAUGCUGUAAACGAUGUGUGUUAGACGUUGGAAAUUUAUUUUCAGUGUCGCAGCGAAAGCAAUAAACACACCGCCUGGGG